RNAcentral lists this transfer RNA (91 nucleotides) under Nemania serpens. RNAcentral describes it as "tRNA-Pro". It matches the Rfam family "tRNA". Rfam says of the family: Transfer RNA (tRNA) molecules are approximately 80 nucleotides in length. Lineage: Eukaryota; Fungi; Ascomycota; Sordariomycetes; Xylariales; Xylariaceae. The record is from RNAcentral.
GGUCUGGUGGUCUAGUGGUAUGAUUCUCGCUUAGGGCUUACCCUAUAGCAUUGUAUGCGAGAGGUCCCGGGUUCAAUCCCCGGCCAGACCC